CCUCAAAUCAGGUGGGACUACCCGCUGAACUUAAGCAUAUCAAUAAGCGGAGGAAAAGAAACUAACAAGGAUUCCCCUAGUAACGGCGAGUGAAGCGGGAUGAGCUCAAAUUUAAAAUCUGGCAGUCUAAGAUUGUCCGAGUUGUAGUCUAGAGAAGCGUUUUCCGCGUAGGCCUGUGUACAAGUCCCUUGGAAUAGGGCGUCAUAGAGGGUGAGAAUCCCGUCCUUGACACAGAUCAUCUAUGCUUUGCGAUGCGCUCUCGAAGAGUCGAGUUGUUUGGGAAUGCAGCUCAAAAUGGGUGGUAAAUUCCAUCUAAAGCUAAAUACUGGCGAGAGACCGAUAGCGAACAAGUACCGUGAGGGAAAGAUGAAAAGCACUUUGGAAAGAGAGUUAAACAGUACGUGAAAUUGUUGAAAGGGAAACGAUUGAAGUCAGUCAUGUGGUUCGAGAUUCAGCCGGUUCUGCCGGUGUAUUUCUCGAGCUACAGGCCAGCAUCAGUUUCGACCGGUGGAAAAAGUUGGAAGGAAUGUGGCAUCCUCGGAUGUGUUAUAGCCUUCUUUCACAUGCAUCGGACGGGUUUGAGGAACGCAGCGUGCCUUUAUGGUCGGUCUUCGGACACGAACGCGC
This 627-nucleotide ribosomal RNA is filed under the name Udeniomyces sp. 2 AK-2015. Its description in RNAcentral is "eukaryotic LSU rRNA". It matches the Rfam family "Eukaryotic large subunit ribosomal RNA", at positions 1 to 606 of the family's 3401-position model. The record is from RNAcentral. Lineage: Eukaryota; Fungi; Basidiomycota; Tremellomycetes; Cystofilobasidiales; Mrakiaceae.